AACAUCUGUAAUGUUCUUGAGAACUGCCAGGCUUGUCCCUGCUAUGCUGUUAUCAGCUUGUGCUAGCGUCAGGGGAACAGGGAUGGGGCUGAUUCUUCAACAGGCUCUGCUGAUGCUUGUACCUCUGGAGCCUGCUGCAUGUGCAUGGUACUCGGACAUAGGAGAAGAGUGAAUAGCCUCAAAGACCCAGAAUAACCAUCAGAGCUUUAUCAGGACCUGUGCUUGCGGUUCACUCCUUAUGGACUGACACAAAUGAAGUGAUAAUGAUGGUUCCCCUCAAUUACCACAAAACAGUUUAAAAAUUGAGCAUCUUUAAAAAAUGGAGCUGUCUCAAAUCCUUACUCCGGUGUGUUGCUGUCUCGAAUCAGUGUUGCUGUGGCUGCUGGGUUGUUUGUUUGUCUGAUGAAGUGGGAAAAAAAAGCUGUUGUGAAGCUGGGGAUGAAACUAGGCUGAGAAAAGGGUUUUUUUUUCAUCCUUCUCAGUCUCAGCCUUUCCAGGUGGGAUCCAGUAGGUGCCAGUCUCACCUUGUGGAGCAGGGGAAAAUGGAAACUGCUAGCAAUUCUUCACAGAAGUAAAAAAAUACAGCAACAGAGCGGGUGGGAGGAAAAAUGAAAGCCCGUAGGAAAGACCUCUGUUCUCUGGGAUGCUCACUUCAUUUCUUUUUCCCUACUCAGCAAAGUUUAUCUUCGGCUCGGCAGCACAAACCAGCCUCCUCCCUGCUCUUUAAUUAGUGUGUUGUAAAGGAAGAAGGUAUUGGGGGAAGAAAAUAGAAAUAGGAUAUUGUGUUUUGAUGCCCCAAUAGGUAGAAAAAUGCAUGGUUUCCAAAUAUGAUAGCUAAUGCUUAAUCUGACAGCAUGUCUCUUAUCAACAGGCUGUGUGUGACACCCCAUUACGUGAUAAUGGAAUCCUAUACGGAGACCACAGGAGACCUGGUUCCAUUCAAUUAGCUUGCAAAACAGCAAACCUCUGAAAGCAUCUUUGUCUCCUCUUUUCCCCACCUCUUUCUCUCUCUCUUUUUUUUUUUAUUUUUCCCUGAGAAAAUGAGAGAGUGAAUAUUUCUAUUUUAUUUUGUGGAGGAUUAGUACCAACUAAUAGGAUUAAUAUCCUGAGUUGUGUGGCAAAUGGAACAUUGUUAAUAGGGUGAUUAUUAGAGAAUUAUAUGGAGGGGCAAA
Molecule: long non-coding RNA, 1172 nt
Filed under: Numida meleagris (helmeted guineafowl)
Lineage: Eukaryota; Metazoa; Chordata; Aves; Galliformes; Numididae
Description: lncRNA (ENSNMEG00000015527.1)
Source: RNAcentral